Molecule: long non-coding RNA, 224 nt
Filed under: Carica papaya (papaya)
Lineage: Eukaryota; Viridiplantae; Streptophyta; Magnoliopsida; Brassicales; Caricaceae
Description: long non-coding RNA (CPAP_LNC006799)
Source: RNAcentral
AAGACAUUUUUUGGCUCGUUUAGGAUGAGUUGUUCAUUGAUGAAACUCAUGUGGAUAAAUGAGAACAGCUUCCCAUCAUUAUAGUAGACUCAAUAUAUGUCAUAUAUCUUUUAAUGUUAAAGUACAAGCUAAUUUAGUAUGUACACGAAUUGAAUCGAUACUCACUAUAUUUACAUGUUGGGUACUACUAAUCUUCAGUCUAUCAAUUUUUCCUAGGUUAUACU